Molecule: long non-coding RNA, 783 nt
Filed under: Anser cygnoides (Swan goose)
Lineage: Eukaryota; Metazoa; Chordata; Aves; Anseriformes; Anatidae
Description: lncRNA (ENSACDG00005019286.1)
Source: RNAcentral
AUGAGCCACUUCCUGAAAACCGUGUUUUACAUGGUAAAGCUAAAAAUGUAUUUCUUCGAAAAACUCAGCUGUGUUUUGUUUCCUCUCCUCUUGAUUCAGACUGUCCACCUUACUUCUGUUUCUGCUCCAGCGCUUACGUACCGCUGUAGAGUAGGGACACUUGGUGAUGGAGGGCACGGGCCGCGCUCUGCAAGUGCUGCGGAGAAGGUUUUCCUGACUGUUCUGUGGCCCUGUCGCUGCAGCCGCCAUGGAUCCGAAUGCUGUGGCUGCAAAGGCUUCUUACUUUCUCAUACUGGAUCCCUCAAAUCCAAGAGCUGCUUGGCAGUUUCCAAGGCAACCACCUGUGGAAUAAUUAAAAAGGAUGAAGCGUUAGUGUGCCAAAGAUACGGAAUUCUUGCCUGGAGAGAGCACUUCAUUUUCAUCUGUUGUGAAGAAUCAAAUGUGUCUCUGCCAGCAAAGUUAAGAAGAAGAAAUGGUGACCGAGCUGUGCAAGUGAACCAGGACAAUCCAAAAAAUUCAGAAGGCGUCUGUGAGCGGCCGGGCAGGACUAGCACAGGAGAGGUGCUUCUGGUACCUGCUGCCUCUCGCCUGGGGCUUGUGCCAGCAAGGAGCCGAGGUGCCGACUUCACAUCACACCUGGGCUCGAUUUCGGAUGCUUCUCCUGGCAACGCAGGGACCUCCGCUGAUGGGGGUGCUGAGCAACCUCUGUGCCCCAGCCGUGGGACAGAACCAUCCCAGAGGCCCUGCUGCUCUCUCACAUCCCUGAUACUCGUCGCUGAAUGA